UCGGAACGUGCCCUGGAGUGGGGGAGUAACUAGUCGAAAGACUAGCUAAUACCGCAUACGAUCUACGGAUGAAAGUGGGGGAUCGCAAGACCUCAUGCUCGUGGAGCGGCCGAUAUCUGAUUAGCUAGUUGGUGGGGUAAAGGGCCUACCAAGGCAUCGAUCAGUAGCUGGUCUGAGAGGACGACCAGCCACACUGGGACUGAGACACGGCCCAG
Molecule: ribosomal RNA, 215 nt
Filed under: uncultured bacterium
Lineage: Bacteria
Description: partial 16S ribosomal RNA
Rfam family: Bacterial small subunit ribosomal RNA
Source: RNAcentral